RNAcentral lists this ribosomal RNA (443 nucleotides) under uncultured bacterium. Its description in RNAcentral is "partial 16S ribosomal RNA". It matches the Rfam family "Bacterial small subunit ribosomal RNA", at positions 338 to 795 of the family's 1533-position model. The record is from RNAcentral.
CCUACGGGUGGCAGCAGUGGGGAAUAUUGGUCAAUGGGCGCAAGUCUGACCCAGUAAUGCCGCGUGAAGGAAGAAGGCUUUCGGGUUGUAAACUUGUUUUUUCAGGGACGAAAAAAGUGAUGCUACCUGAGGUAUAAGCCACGGCUAACUACGUGGCAGCAGCCGCGGCAAUACGGAGGUGGCAAGCGUUAUCCGGAUUUAUUGGGUUUAAAGGGUGUGUAGGCGGGAGGGCAAGUCAGAUGUGAAAACUCCGGGCUCAACCCUGGGCCUGCAUUUCAAACUGGGUUGCUUGAGUGCUGGGGAGGCAGGCGGAAUUCGGGGUGUAGCGGUGAAAUGCGUAGAUAUGAGGAAGAACACCGAUGGCGAAGGCAGAUUGCUGGACCGUAACUGACGCUGAGGCGCGAAAGCGUGGGGAGCGAACAGGAUUAGAUACCCUUGUAGUC